Molecule: ribosomal RNA, 450 nt
Filed under: uncultured bacterium
Lineage: Bacteria
Description: partial 16S ribosomal RNA
Rfam family: Bacterial small subunit ribosomal RNA
Source: RNAcentral
GUGGGGAAUAUUGGACAAUGGGCGAAAGCCUGAUCCAGCCGUGCCGCGUGUGUGAAGAAGGUCUUCGGAUUGUAAAGCACUUUAAGUUGGGAGGAAGGGUAGUAACCUAAUACGUUGCUACUUUGACGUUACCGACAGAAUAAGCACCGGCUAACUUCGUGCCAGCAGCCGCGGUAAUACGAAGGGUGCAAGCGUUAAUCGGAAUUACUGGGCGUAAAGCGCGCGUAGGUGGUUCGUUAAGUUGGAUGUGAAAGCCCCGGGCUCAACCUGGGAACUGCAUCCAAAACUGGCGAGCUAGAGUACGGUAGAGGGUGGUGGAAUUUCCUGUGUAGCGGUGAAAUGCGUAGAUAUAGGAAGGAACACCAGUGGCGGAGGCGACCACCUGGACUGAUACUGACACUGAGGUGCGAAAGCGUGGGGAGCAAACAGGAUUAGAAACCCCUGUAGUCC